This 245-nucleotide ribosomal RNA is filed under the name uncultured bacterium. Its description in RNAcentral is "partial 16S ribosomal RNA". It matches the Rfam family "Bacterial small subunit ribosomal RNA", at positions 334 to 596 of the family's 1533-position model. The record is from RNAcentral.
CUUGCCUACGGGACGCAGCAGUGGGGAAUAUUGCACAAUGGGGGGAACCCUGAUGCAGCGACGCCGCGUGAGUGAAGAAGUAUUUCGGUAUGUAAAGCUCUAUCAGCAGGGAAGAAGAUGACGGUACCUGACUAAGAAGCCCCGGCUAACUACGUGCCAGCAGCCGCGGUAAUACGGAGGAUGCGAGCGUUAUCCGGAUUUACUGGGUGUAUAGGGGGCGCAGACGGCGAUGCAAGCCAGGAGUG